This 71-nucleotide transfer RNA is filed under the name Methylacidiphilales bacterium. Its description in RNAcentral is "Candidatus Methylacidiphilales bacterium tRNA-Cys". It matches the Rfam family "tRNA". From Rfam's summary of the family: Transfer RNA (tRNA) molecules are approximately 80 nucleotides in length. Their secondary structure includes four short double-helical elements and three loops (D, anti-codon, and T loops). The record is from RNAcentral. Lineage: Bacteria; Pseudomonadati; Verrucomicrobiota; Methylacidiphilae; Methylacidiphilales.
GGCUGAGUGGCAGAGUGGUCAUGCAGCGGCCUGCAAAGCCGCGUACGUCGGUUCAAUUCCGGCCUCAGCCU